CCGGGCCUGUUUGGACCUGGAUUCUGGUCUUUCAGUGACUAAAGAGGAGGAGAGCCAAUGUCCAGGGCCGCUGGUAGAGGAGAGGCUCUGUCCAGAUGCUAACAUCUGCAGAGAUCUGUGUCAGUGGAGUGCAUGGAGUGCAUGGACAGCAUGUGCAGAGCCAUGCAGUGGUGGUGUCAGGCAGCGCUACAGAUGGCCCCUGGCUUCUCCGGCAGGACCUCAGUGUAGAAGCCAACAGACACAAAGCCAGAGCUGCAACACGGGACUCUGCCCAGGGGAACACUGUGAGGACAGGGGACGCACUUACCAAGAGACCUGUGCCAAUCACUGUCCUCGCAGCUGCACUGACUUAUGGGAGCAUGUGCAGUGUCUCCAAGGAGCCUGUCACCCAGGUUAACACUAAUAAUAGCUUCUUCUUAAUAAAAUAUUUUGUU
This is a long non-coding RNA of Parambassis ranga (Indian glassy fish), 434 nucleotides long. The record is from Ensembl. NCBI's taxonomy places the organism in Eukaryota, Metazoa, Chordata, Actinopteri, Ambassidae.